This is a long non-coding RNA of Populus nigra (black poplar), 355 nucleotides long. RefSeq lists it as uncharacterized. The transcript has 2 exons. The record is from RefSeq and is a predicted model, not a curated record. NCBI's taxonomy places the organism in Eukaryota, Viridiplantae, Streptophyta, Magnoliopsida, Malpighiales, Salicaceae.
UUUUCUGUUAGUUCUUUUCAGUACUUCUCUUGUAAGAGUGUGAAAGAGCUGGAAGAUGAAGAAAACAAAAAAAUCAGGAGGGAAGAAUGACACGAGACAUGCAUAGCAAAUAUUAUGGAAUACUCAUUUGAGCAAGAAAAUAUUAGAUACUUGUGUUCUAUGAAGUUGGAAAAGUUUAAUAGCUAGGAAGCCUCGACAUAGAAACUUCACCAUUAAUUUCAAUGGUGAAAAAGAAAGAUUUAGUAUUUUAUUAGAUAAAAUAACUAACUAAAAUAUCAUUUAAAAUAUUAUGUAAAAUCUUAAAUAAACUUUGUAUGGAUGUUGAUGAUAUGAAGAGAUUUUUUUUUUAGUUUAA